This 486-nucleotide ribosomal RNA is filed under the name uncultured bacterium. RNAcentral's name for it is "partial 16S ribosomal RNA". It matches the Rfam family "Bacterial small subunit ribosomal RNA", at positions 30 to 507 of the family's 1533-position model. The record is from RNAcentral.
AUUGAACGCUGGCGGCAUGCCUUACACAUGCAAGUCGAACGGCAGCACGGGUGCUUGCCCCUGGUGGCGAGUGGCGAACGGGUGAGUAAUACAUCGGAACAUGUCCUGUAGUGGGGGAUAGCCCGGCGAAAGCCGGAUUAAUACCGCAUACGAUCUACGGAUGAAAGCGGGGGACCUUCGGGCCUCGCGCUAUAGGGUUGGCCGAUGGCUGAUUAGCUAGUUGGUGGGGUAAAGGCCUACCAAGGCGACGAUCAGUAGCUGGUCUGAGAGGACGACCAGCCACACUGAGACUGAGACACGGCCCAGACUCCUACGGGAGGCAGCAGUGGGGAAUUUUGGACAAUGGGCGAAAGCCUGAUCCAGCAAUGCCGCGUGUGUGAAGAAGGCCUUCGGGUUGUAAAGCACUUUUGUCCGGAAAGAAAUCCUUGGCCCUAAUACGGUCGGGGGAUGACGGUACCGGAAGAAUAAGCACCGGCUAACUACGUG